UUUUUCUUUGGUUCCUUCCAGGCCGAACAGGGGACGGUGGGGGUUCUCUGGCCUUGACCGACCGUUCGAGCCACGGCCGCCGCGGCGGAGGCCGACGGCCGACGGGAAUCACUCCCCCGAUCACGGAGGAGGGUGGCCGGCGAUCAAUUUCGAUCACCGGCGCCGGAAACUUCAAGGAAAAGAGACCCAAAAACAGAGGUCCCUUUCCCGAUCGAAAAUCGGCAAUUUUUGUCGCCGGCAGCCGCGCACAAUUGCACGGGGAGGA
Molecule: long non-coding RNA, 265 nt
Filed under: Elaeis guineensis (African oil palm)
Lineage: Eukaryota; Viridiplantae; Streptophyta; Magnoliopsida; Arecales; Arecaceae
Description: long non-coding RNA (EGUI_LNC080816)
Source: RNAcentral